Molecule: ribosomal RNA, 305 nt
Filed under: uncultured bacterium
Lineage: Bacteria
Description: bacterial SSU rRNA
Rfam family: Bacterial small subunit ribosomal RNA
Source: RNAcentral
CCUACGGGGGGCAGCAGUGAGGAAUAUUGGUCAAUGGGCGAGAGCCUGAACCAGCCAAGUCGCGUGAGGGAAGACGGUCCUAUGGAUUGUAAACCUCUUUUGCCGGGGAGCAAAAAGCGGUACGUGUACCGCAUCGAGAGUACCCGGAGAAAAAGCAUCGGCUAACUCCGUGCCAGCAGCCGCGGUAAUACGGAGGAUGCGAGCGUUAUCCGGAUUUAUUGGGUUUAAAGGGUGCGCAGGCGGUCUGUUAAGUCAGCGGUCAAAGCCCGGGGCUCAACCCCGGCCCGCCGUUGAAACUGGCAGUC